Molecule: long non-coding RNA, 638 nt
Filed under: Phoenix dactylifera (date palm)
Lineage: Eukaryota; Viridiplantae; Streptophyta; Magnoliopsida; Arecales; Arecaceae
Description: long non-coding RNA (PDAC_LNC019903)
Source: RNAcentral
UGCGCUUUACUUAGCUAUAUUUAAGACCUUUUAGGCAAUUACUCAAAUCUUACACAUGCUAAUAAUUUAAUAUCAUCUUUUUGCUGGAUCAUUAUCGAUAUUUAGAACUAUGCUUUUCUUCAUCAUACUCAUCUCCCUAACAUAUAUAUUUCGCUCCCUGUAUUGAGUGACUACUAUCAGUCAACACUCAAGCCUUGAAUCUUGAGGAAUAACAGACAGCGAUGUAUGAAUGGAUCAUCUUGAGCACCUACAUGUACCACCACAUCAGCUCCUUCAGGAGAUUCAACUAUGUAUUUGGUUGAAUUCUUGUCUAUUUCAAUGUCUUCAAUGCAGAUACACACAUAGCUAAUGGAUGAUGACAUCGAAUGUAAUGAUAUCUUUCGAGUCUUCUCUUUGCCCUAUGAUUUAUCAUGCUUACACUGCUUACAACAUUUGGUUUUCUCCAGAUGGUGCAAUUGCUAGACCAUGAAACAUGUAAUUCUCCCAUCUUUUAUCCAAGCAUCAAUUUUUUAUAAUUUCAAGGUCAUUUGGUUACAUAACUGCAUUUCCCCUUUUCAAACUACAAUUCACCUCCUUAGACUAAAAUUGUGAUAUUUUUUUGAUCCUUGAAAAGAUAAAAGGUCUGAUUCCUACAGAGA